Molecule: long non-coding RNA, 846 nt
Organism: Oreochromis niloticus (Nile tilapia)
Lineage: Eukaryota; Metazoa; Chordata; Actinopteri; Cichliformes; Cichlidae
Exons: 3
Source: RefSeq, a predicted model, not a curated record
GUCAGAACAUCAAAUGGGACAAUUAUAGCCUGCUACUGGAUAUACUGACCUAGACUGCGUAGCUAUACCUGGCUGGAUUGGUUUGUUUUGCCUGCUGAACAAAUGCUAGCCUGUCUGGCUUUUUUGGGUAAUGAGAAAAAUCGAAACUGCAAACGUCCUCUUCACCACAGUGACAGUGGACAGACGACACCUACUCACAUGGAGCUAAAAGAGAAUUAGAUAGAUCAAAGAAGUCUGCGCAACAUCUUUCCACAAUUUCUAGAAUCAGAAUUUCAACAUUGGAUUGAAACAUUGCAUCUAGGACUUCUCUUGCCGUCUGAUUCACCUGCUAAAAUAGACAGCACAGAGUUGGAGCUUCUUCUUCGACUUCAGCAUGGGAUCCUAGUACUUCCUGCACCACUGCUCUUUAAACAGCUCAUGCUAUAUUUGCACCUCUCUGCUGAAUGCCUCAGCAUUAGUCAUCCUCUAUUACUCAUGUGGCGUGUAUUUGUGAACACACCGGGAGAGCACAGAGGAGCUCCUGCCUACUAAAAAAUGCAGCUUAACUUGAUACAAAAGUGGUCAGGGUGUGGGUGCCACAGAGGACCAUUGAGCCGGAAUUCUUUGUGUUUGUGUAGCUUCACUCUCGGCAGUUCUUUUCUCCUGUUCUUGGAAUAAUUUUAAUUCUGCGGGAUUUACUUGUCCCAGUUAAAGUAAUCCAGACACGUGGAGUAUCAGCGGUCUUUUUAUUCCUCAACCUGGCAGGUUUGAGGCUUGUCUGGUGGAAUUUGUGACUCCAUCUGCUGGACAAAUUCUGUUACAUGUGCUGGAGUUACAAAGGCCACUCUGCUGCACUCUUGGGGUGGC